Molecule: non-coding RNA, 264 nt
Organism: Vicia faba (fava bean)
Lineage: Eukaryota; Viridiplantae; Streptophyta; Magnoliopsida; Fabales; Fabaceae
Source: the annotation of a GenBank genome assembly
AUGGCGCCGCCGCCGCAGUCGCCGUCGUCGUCGUCGUCUCCCUUCGAUCCUUUCAACCAAGAACCUGUUAUACGAAAGAAGAACAAUGGAGCACCUAUCAAGUUCCUUUUGCCUCUCAUAUAUGCCCCUGUUCUACCUCUAAUUCGUUUAUCGCUGCGGAGUAAACCUGUUCUGAGAGAUCGUUUGUUUACUGCUGUGUUGGUUGGGGCUUUUGUUCAUGGAGGCUAUCUGGUAACGGAUUUGUAUGAUGCUGAGAGCAAAUGA